UUUUCGCUCUUUUUUAGUCAU
RNAcentral lists this non-coding RNA (21 nucleotides) under Caenorhabditis elegans. The record is from RNAcentral. Lineage: Eukaryota; Metazoa; Nematoda; Chromadorea; Rhabditida; Rhabditidae.